Molecule: long non-coding RNA, 425 nt
Organism: Oncorhynchus tshawytscha (Chinook salmon)
Lineage: Eukaryota; Metazoa; Chordata; Actinopteri; Salmoniformes; Salmonidae
Source: Ensembl
GCGGAGGAGAGAGGGGCGAAGAAGAGGAGAGAAGGGUGAAGAAGUGGAGGACAGAGGGGUGAAGUACAGAGGGGUGAAGAGAGGAGAGGGGUUAAGAGAGGAGAGAGGGGUGAAGGAGAGCGGACAGAGGGGUGCAGGACAGAGGGGUGAAGGAGAGCAGAGAAAGCAGGGAAGGAGAGCGGAGAGAGGGGCGAAGAAGAGAGGGGUAAAGAAGAGAGGGGUGAAGAAGAGGAGAGAAGGGUGAAGAAGAGAGGACAGAGGGGUGAAGUACAGAGGGGUGAAGAGAGGUGAGGGGUUAAGAGAGGAGAGGGGGUGAAGAGAGAGGAGAGAAGGAGAGAGGGGUGAAGGAGAGCGGACAGAGGGGUGCAGGACAGAGGGGUGAAGGAGAGCAGAGAGAGCAGUGAAGGAGAGCAGAGAGAGGGGCG